RNAcentral lists this long non-coding RNA (2463 nucleotides) under Musa acuminata (dwarf banana). RNAcentral's name for it is "long non-coding RNA (MACU_LNC007506)". The record is from RNAcentral. Lineage: Eukaryota; Viridiplantae; Streptophyta; Magnoliopsida; Zingiberales; Musaceae.
ACAAGAACGUAACUUUGUGCAUCCUAAUAAUAAGAAGAAAGUGUUGCAUUUUGGCAGCGGAUACUGGAGGAGAAAUUCCAGCAUGAAAGAGACCAACCUCACCUGUGGAAUCCAAAAAGUAAGUAUAUUUACAAAUCUCUAAGAGAGAAGAGCAAUGAAAGAAGAGACCCGAACAGAGACAUAGACUCGGUGUAUACUCUCGCAUCGAAGAGCAUCGUUCAUUUUGUAAGAGAAUAGUGUGACGGCUUAUCUAGCUUAUCUAGACUCAAAAAGCCACGAAUGAAUCAUUUGCUAAGAUACUAGCUCCAACACUGGAUUUCUUUUGUCGAGAUGGGUUUGGUGUUCUUCGAACAUUUGUAACCCUAGAAGCUAUUGGUUACCAAGUAAGCUCAAGAAGCGAAGCUGGUCUUCCUGGUAGAUUAUAUAAGGACAUCUCAUGUUCAUGCCAGUGCGCUUUUCGUUCUUUCAAUCCCUUCUUUUCUCGAGUCUUUAGCCGCAUUUAGUAAAUAUAAGUAGGUGUGUUUCAGAAGCUAGUGUUUGAGUAUGACUUUUUGGGGAUUAAUCUUUGAGAUAUAUGCCUAUUUCUUUUAUGACCGUGAGUGAAAGCCUAUUAGUAUUAGAGAAGGGGGGAAGUAGGUGAUCAUCAACAAGUGUUUGACUAUGCCAUUCGUCAUACGACGCGUACAUCUCCGAUCAGAGAGUUUCUUAAUCGUCUGGUUAUUUCCAUGGAAAAGCGAAAAUCCUAUAUUAUUAUUAGAUUCUUAUUAUAUGGAAGUAGGUCCUAUUAUUAUAUAGAAGUAGGUCCUCGACCCAGGGUAAUUCAUCAAUCAGAUGGAUGCGCUUAUAGGGCUCUUAGCACCUUACUUUGAUUCCUGUCAACCCUUCGCUAGUAGGACUAUCAGAUAGAAUGGCUAGUCGGUAAACCCUUGACUGCCAAUCUCAUUAGAGGUUAUAAGCUAGCAUCAAAAAAGGGUGGGGUGGUAGUAGACCAGGUGAGUGUUAGCGCUUUACUAAUCCAAAAUAGGGAGUAGACCCGUUUCUUUCUAGAAUGACUCUUCCGGAGUAAAGCUUGAACGUGGCCUGUUAGUCCAAAAGGAAAUGACAUAUCGGAUCGUAGCCAGGAGGUGCCUCAAAUCAGCGAGAUGAAAAACUAGGGCAAAGGGAGAGGGUUCCACAUAAACAAAGAAAAGUAUGGCAGCAGUCGAAUCUUUAGCUAGUCCCAUUCCUUUUAUCUGCGAAGGAAUGAAAGGAUUGGAAGGUAAUAAAGACGGAUAUUGCAAAUAUGGAAUUUUCGGAAAGGAACGGAGCAUAUAUAGUGGCUCGACGCGGCGGUGUACACGUGUCUCCUAUAGCAUGCAGCCCAUAAUGAAGAGACAGAUCUCGAGAAAGGUGUGCUGCGAGAGUAUAGGUAGCCAGUCUUUACUUAAGUAGGCCCAAGCAAUGCCCAAAGACUCCCAUUUCCUUAUUGGCCGACCCUUUUCCCUAUAAGGUUCCUAGCCCAAGGCGAUUUCCGACAAGUAGUUGGUCAGCAGAGAAAGUAGAGGUCGGGCGCUAAGCAAGACAAGAUAGAGAUUCCAUUAAUGAUUCAGCAGCAUAAGAUUAAUUGGAAUUAAUGAUUCAGCAGCAUAAGAUUAAUUAGAGUUAGUCGUUAAGCUCAUUGAUUUAGUAUAUAUAGGUAUGUGGAGAGAUAGAUUGUAGUAGGUCCUAAGGUAAUAAGAAAUAGGAUGAAGUAUAAGUAAGUGGAGAGAUAGAUUGAAGUAGGUACAAAGGUAAUAAGAAAUAGAUGAAGCGGGUAAUCAGAAAGGGGAGAGUAAGGAGCAGAUUCCGCAGUGGAAGCAGUUCUUGACUUGCGAAUAACUCGCCGCUGGAACUCGGCUCCCAAAAACGGGACUUGGCGUCAGUGAGCUCUUUACCUACAAAGACAAAGAUAGAAAGAAAAUAACUUAGUCCGUUUCUUCUCCCUUCUUCGCUCUUAAUACACACCUCUGGGCAGGAAAUAUCACUCGUACACUAACUUGCUUGUUUAAUUGAAUGAAAUCCAAAUGGAAUAUAUGAAAUACAAUAGAAAAGAGUAAAGAACACCGCUUACUAUAAUAUCAUGGUAGUGCGCACACCUAUAAUCUCAUCUAUGAACUAACCAUCAUGAAGGAAGCUCACUCCUAAUCAUAUGAAACACCAUCAGAAAGCUCACUCCUAAUCAUAUAUAGUAUGGAACUUGCUGUAUCUUAAAGCUCACUCCUAAUCAUAUAUAGUGAAGUAUGGAACUCGCACACGUAGAACUCACUUUAGCUCGACGACGAACGCCAAACACCAGGUAUCAAAGAAAUUCAUUGAGUUAGAUAAGAGUCCAGGGCUAGUUCCAGUGGAAUUCUUAUCCGUAUUUGUAACAAGAGGAGAGGAAGCUAGAAGUACUAUUGAUCCCAGGACUUGAUUCUGCCCCUAAUCAAAGUAAGGCAAUUGGUU